GAACUAGUUGUGGGGACCAUUCCACGGUUUCCGUGACGCAGCUAACGCAUUAAGUUCCCCGCCUGGGGAGUACGGCCGCAAGGCUAAAACUCAAAGGAAUUGACGGGGACCCGCACAAGCGGCGGAGCAUGCGGAUUAAUUCGAUGCAACGCGAAGAACCUUACCAAGGCUUGACAUAUACGAGAACGGGCCAGAAAUGGUCAACUCUUUGGACACUCGUAAACAGGUGGUGCAUGGUUGUCGUCAGCUCGUGUCGUGAGAUGUUGGGUUAAGUCCCGCAACGAGCGCAACCCUCGUUCUAUGUUGCCAGCACGUAAUGGUGGGAACUCAUGGGAUACUGCCGGGGUCAACUCGGAGGAAGGUGGGGAUGACGUCAAAUCAUCAUGCCCCUUAUGUCUUGGGCUUCACGCAUGCUACAAUGGCCGGUACAAAGGGCUGCAAUACCGUGAGGUGGAGCGAAUCCCAAAAAGCCGGUCCCAGUUCGGAUUGAGGUCUGCAACUCGACCUCAUGAAGUCGGAGUCGCUAGUAAUCGCAGAUCAGCAACGCUGCGGUGAAUACGUUCCCGGGUCUUGUACACACCGCCCGUCAAGUCAUGAAAG
RNAcentral lists this ribosomal RNA (600 nucleotides) under Microbacterium sp. RNAcentral's name for it is "bacterial SSU rRNA". It matches the Rfam family "Bacterial small subunit ribosomal RNA", at positions 813 to 1410 of the family's 1533-position model. Lineage: Bacteria; Bacillati; Actinomycetota; Actinomycetes; Micrococcales; Microbacteriaceae. The record is from RNAcentral.